Molecule: non-coding RNA, 534 nt
Organism: Microcebus murinus (gray mouse lemur)
Lineage: Eukaryota; Metazoa; Chordata; Mammalia; Primates; Cheirogaleidae
Source: RefSeq, a predicted model, not a curated record
GCCAGGAGCAGCGUCUUGCAGCUGUGCUGCUCUGCUUGGCAGAGGGAACUCCUGCAGCAGCAGAAAUGAGAAUAAAUAUAUCUGUGGGCAUCAAUACCCUUGUGUUUGGACUCAGCGAGGUACUGCAAUGUUGAGGAUAUGGAUAACUCCCACCUCUAAAGAAUUCAUUUGCAUUUCCCUGGAGCUGCCUAAUGUGGUGCAGCACAUUCAUUUGUACUCGUAGGAAAAUCAGAAAAGAACACCUACACACCUAUCUUGGUGGAGUUUACAGUCAAGCUGGAGAGAUAGCAUAAACAUAUGAAGAGAUAACUCGUAAUAUUAUGUAAUAAAUGGUAAACGUAAUCUACAUAAAAAGAAGAGGCAAUCUAUAUAGAAGUGAUCUACAUUAAUGUCUAUUGAAUCCAUGAGUGAAUCAAUGAGUGAACAACGUUUCUGAACCCACAUCACUAGUCAAAUUGCACUGGCUAGAUGUUUUACAUGCACUCUUCAAUUUGAUGCUGAAAUCAGUCUGGUAGGUAUAUAUUAUUCUUUUCA